UACGUAGGUGGCAAGCGUUGUCCGGAAUUAUUGGGCGUAAAGCGCGCGCAGGUGGUUCUUUAAGUCUGAUGUGAAAGCCCACGGCUCAACCGUGGAGGGUCAUUGGAAACUGGGGAACUUGAGUGCAGAAGAGGAUAGUGGAAUUCCAAGUGUAGCGGUGAAAUGCGUAGAGAUUUGGAGGAACACCAGUGGCGAAGGCGACUAUCUGGUCUGUAACUGACACUGAGGCGCGAA
RNAcentral lists this ribosomal RNA (234 nucleotides) under uncultured bacterium. RNAcentral describes it as "partial 16S ribosomal RNA". It matches the Rfam family "Bacterial small subunit ribosomal RNA", at positions 524 to 757 of the family's 1533-position model. The record is from RNAcentral.